AUGCUCAUUAACUCGUCCCUCUCCAGCCUCCUAUUAUUCAUCAUGAGCUUAUACAACCUUCCGGAGACUCUUCAUCACGAGAUUGCAACCGUUCAAGGGCGCUUCUUUUGGGCCGGCGAGGGUGAUAAGCAGAAAUACCACAUGGUCAGGUGGUCCGAGAUCUGCAAACCUCGCGACCAGGGCAGCCUUGGGAUCAUGUCCUCCAAACGCAUGAAUAUUGCCCUUCUGACUCGGUGGCUCUGGAGGAUUAGCAACGGAGAUGGUGGCCUGUGGAUAUGCAUUAUUCAGCAGAAAUACCUCUGAGGCUAGCCUCUUGUCUUCUGUCAGCGAUCUGGGGGCUCCCAGUUCUGGCAAUGCAUCAUUCAGCUUCUCCCUGUCCUCCGGAUCGGGAUCUCGAUCGAGAUUGGUUCCAGCACCGCCACGCUGUUCUGGUUCGAUCGCUGGACUGGUGACACGCCCCUGGCGGCCCGCUUCCCGGACAUGUUCUCCAUCGCGGUUGCCCCUCAGAUCUCCAUGGCGACCGCCCUUAUGGACUUAGGGCGGCUUGCGUUCCGAAGGCCUUUUGGUCCUGCUGAGAAUGCGGACUGGCAGGAGUUGCUUGACUGUAUUGCUCUCCAUGAGCCAGAGCUCACGUCUGACGAUGACCGCGCCAGGUGGCGCUUUGAGCCAUCCAGUCAAUUCUCCACCAAAUCUCUCUAUCUGGCCAUCGCCCCCUCGCUCGACCAUGAGGCUCUUUCCUCCAUUUGGGAGAUUCGCCUCCACUUGAAAAUUAGGCUCUUCCUGUGGCAAUGGAUUCACGACCGCCUCCCUUCUAGCGUUGAGGUUCUGAAGCACAAUGGCCCUGGUGAUGGGCAUUGCCCGCUCUGUGGGCCUGAAGAAUAUUCGAACCAUAUCUUCUUCACCUACGUGUCUGCGCAGUUCCUCUGGAGCCGUUUCCGCGAGAUUGUGGGCGGAAGCUGGGACCAUACCAACUUCCCUACUCUCUUUGCCGAACUCCACGCGAUCCCCCUCCCCCUCGUUGCGCCACAUUAG
RNAcentral lists this ribosomal RNA (1032 nucleotides) under Triticum aestivum (bread wheat). Its description in RNAcentral is "partial small subunit ribosomal RNA". The record is from RNAcentral. Lineage: Eukaryota; Viridiplantae; Streptophyta; Magnoliopsida; Poales; Poaceae.